This 110-nucleotide transfer RNA is filed under the name Nitrososphaerota archaeon. Its description in RNAcentral is "Thaumarchaeota archaeon (freshwater metagenome) tRNA-Leu". It matches the Rfam family "tRNA". From Rfam's summary of the family: Transfer RNA (tRNA) molecules are approximately 80 nucleotides in length. Their secondary structure includes four short double-helical elements and three loops (D, anti-codon, and T loops). Lineage: Archaea; Thermoproteati; Nitrososphaerota. The record is from RNAcentral. RNAcentral also lists the same sequence under 2 other names.
GCAGGAGUAGCCGAGCCUGGCCAAAGUAAGCAACAAAAAUUGCUUUUGGAUGCGCGGGACUUAAGAUCCCGUCUCUUAGGGGUUCGUGGGUUCAAAUCCCACCUCCUGCA